This 68-nucleotide transfer RNA is filed under the name Cricetulus griseus (Chinese hamster). It matches the Rfam family "tRNA". Rfam says of the family: Transfer RNA (tRNA) molecules are approximately 80 nucleotides in length. The record is from Rfam by way of RNAcentral. Lineage: Eukaryota; Metazoa; Chordata; Mammalia; Rodentia; Cricetidae.
UGUGGCUCAGCUGGUACAGUGUUUGCCUAACAUGCAGAAAGCCCUGGGUUCGACCCCCAGAGCCACAU